AGACAGCAGCAGCCGCGGGAAUACAGAGGGUGCGAGCGUUAAUCGGAUUUACUGGGCGUAAAGCGUGCGUAGGCGGCUUCUUAAGUCGGAUGUGAAAUCCCUGAGCUUAACUUAGGAAUUGCAUUCGAUACUGGGAAGCUAGAGUAUGGGAGAGGAUGGUAGAAUUCCAGGUGUAGCGGUGAAAUGCGUAGAGAUCUGGAGGAAUACCGAUGGCGAAGGCAGCCAUCUGGCCUAAUACUGACGCUGAGGUACGAAAGCAUGGGGAGCAAACAGGAUUAGAUACCCCGGUAGUCCCUGUCUCUUAUAA
Molecule: ribosomal RNA, 307 nt
Filed under: uncultured bacterium
Lineage: Bacteria
Description: partial 16S ribosomal RNA
Rfam family: Bacterial small subunit ribosomal RNA
Source: RNAcentral